UGGGGAUGCGUUCCAUUAGAUAGUAGGCGGGGUAACGGCCCACCUAGUCCUUCGAUGGAUAGGGGUUCUGAGAGGAAGGUCCCCCACAUUGGAACUGAGACACGGUCCAAACUCCUACGGGAGGCAGCAGUGAGGAAUAUUGGUCAAUGGACGAGAAUCUGAACCAGCCAAGUAGCGUGAAGGAUGAAGGCCCUAUGGAUUGUAAACUUCUUUUAUACGGGAAUAAACUGAGGCACGUGUGCAUUUUUGUAUGUACCGUAUGAAUAAGGAUCGGCUAACUCCGUGCCAGCAGCCGCGGUAAUACGGAGGAUCCGAGCGUUAUNCCGGAUUUAUUGGGUUUAAAGGGAGCGUAGACGGACGGUUAAGUCAGUUGUGAAAGUUUGCGGCUCAACCGUAAAAUUGCAGUUGAUACUGGCUGUCUUGAGUACAGUAGAGGUCAGGCGGAAUUCGUGGUGUAGCGGUGAAAUGCUUAGAU
This 475-nucleotide ribosomal RNA is filed under the name uncultured Bacteroidales bacterium. RNAcentral's name for it is "bacterial SSU rRNA". It matches the Rfam family "Bacterial small subunit ribosomal RNA", at positions 226 to 695 of the family's 1533-position model. The record is from RNAcentral. Lineage: Bacteria; Pseudomonadati; Bacteroidota; Bacteroidia; Bacteroidales.